GCUGAGGAAGUUGCCUCUCUCUGGCGCCUGCAUUCAAUGAACGUUUGUAAUGUUAGCAGGUGUGGACCUUGAGGAGAUUUUCUCUCCCUGGCUGCCCAAUUAUCAUUUUUAGAGAGGCAAUGCGAUAAUUGCUGAACGAUGUCACCUGACAUUCCUAGCGGGUGGGAGAGAGCCCUCUCCUGCCCCGCUCAUUGCCUAACUACCUGUAACAGGUGUGUGGGUGAGUGCUCCCUGUGAUGGAACGGUGUCCUGUUCAGGACUGGGUGCCACCUGGCACCUUGAGCUGCCAGGACCGGCUCGGGCUGCUCGCGAUCCCAAACUAGAACAAAUGGAAAUGUUCAGUUGUCUAGCUCACAGGGAUAUCCACAAGCCAGACCCAGAAAGCCUUUGCUACCAUUGAUGAAGAUGCCAAGUCCACAGCCCAACAGCCAGAAGACCCUUGGUCUAGACUAGUGGCCUUGUGAGAAGAGAGAGCAACACCAGCAAUGCACAUGCAAAGAGGAAAGGCCCUGCAAGGAUGCUAAGAACGAGGACGGCCAUCCGCCCACCAAGGAGAGAAGUAUCAGGAGGAACAAACCGGCCAACACCUUGAUCUUGGACUUCCAGCCUCCAGAACUGUCCGCAGCUUGGGCUACCUUCCAGCAUAAAGUCACUAAAGAUGUGCCGGGCAUGAUGAAGGAAGAAAGCGACUACAUGCUGAAGGAGAUGGUGCGGGGACUCGCUAGUACCUAUUGGCAGGACCUGGGGAACUUUGGUGGGUGCUUGAUAAUGGGGACUGGAAUAAAAACUGGCUAAGCAAAAAUUUAUGGACUUGGAUUCACUUUCUCAGAACACAGUUUAAUACCUUGGCAAG
Molecule: long non-coding RNA, 853 nt
Filed under: Homo sapiens (human)
Lineage: Eukaryota; Metazoa; Chordata; Mammalia; Primates; Hominidae
Description: HSALNT0356298
Source: RNAcentral